Molecule: ribosomal RNA, 450 nt
Filed under: uncultured organism
Description: partial 16S ribosomal RNA
Rfam family: Bacterial small subunit ribosomal RNA
Source: RNAcentral
ACACUCCUACGGGAGGCAGCAGUGGGGAAUAUUGGACAAUGGGCGCAAGCCUGAUCCAGCCAUGCCGCGUGAGGGAUGAAGGCCCUAGGGUUGUAAAGCUCUUUCACCGGUGAAGAUAAUGACGGUAACCGGAGAAGAAGCCCCGGCUAACUUCGUGCCAGCAGCCGCGGUAAUACGAAGGGGGCUAGCGUUGUUCGGAUUUACUGGGCGUAAAGCGCACGUAGGCGGACUAUUAAGUCAGGGGUGAAAUCCCGGGGCUCAACCCCGGAACUGCCUUUGAUACUGGUAGUCUUGAGUGCGAGAGAGGUGAGUGGAAUUCCGAGUGUAGAGGUGAAAUUCGUAGAUAUUCGGAGGAACACCAGUGGCGAAGGCGGCUCACUGGCUCGAUACUGACGCUGAGGUGCGAAAGCGUGGGGAGCAAACAGGAUUAGAAACCCCGGUAGUCCCAUG